CAUAAGGCUGCUGUAUAUACUCAACCCAUUGGAAAACUGCCAAGAUAUCCCAUUUUUGGCAAUGCUUUCCCUGGCCAUUUCCUGUCCUUUUCCGUUCCUUGUUUGGUCGCUAUUCAGAUUUUCUUUCUUGUGCCCCCCCAAAAGAGGAAGGGUUUGUAGCCGCUCGCCAGAUGCUUGAUAGAUGCAAGCUGCGCUGCUUGUGUGGAUGCACAGAGCAGUUCUCGGAGGGGUCGCUGCCCUAGGAGUGCCACGUAAUGUGAAACAACCUGAGAAAUGCGUGUUUUUUUAUUUAGGGAGUGUGCUGAGGAGUGACAGGAUGGCAGAGAAACAGGGUGUCACGCUAGAUUAUGACUUCCAGUAAUCAAAGCACUGGGAAAAGAUGUUAAGAAACCCUCGUUUGGUGGAGACUGCCUUUUCUAAUCGGGUUUUCAGUAGGAGCGUACAAGAGACCUGCACUCCAGGGCACAGAU
Gavialis gangeticus (Gharial) is the source of this 470-nucleotide long non-coding RNA. RefSeq lists it as uncharacterized. Lineage: Eukaryota; Metazoa; Chordata; Crocodylia; Gavialidae. The record is from RefSeq and is a predicted model, not a curated record. The transcript has 3 exons.